Molecule: small RNA, 165 nt
Filed under: human gut metagenome
Description: Clostridiales-1 RNA
Rfam family: Clostridiales-1 RNA
Source: RNAcentral
GAUGCCAGGGGCAGAAACCCAAGACCACGAUGUGCUUGCACAGGAGUGGUUUUAUGGUUUCGUGCCCCGCCCGGAUAUGAGCAUAGAAGUGGAGCAUAAGCUUCACGAUAUGCGAAUAUAUGGUACGAAUUGUGGGAGUACGAAGUACGGAGCAAUUCGGAAGGC